CUCGUAGGUGGCCAACUAAGUCACACGUGAAAUCCCUCGGCUUAACCGGGGAACUGCGUGUGAUACUGGAUGGCUUGAGUUUGGGAGAGGGAUGCGGAAUUCCAGGUGUAGCGGUGAAAUGCGUAGAUAUCUGGAGGAACACCGGUGGCGAAGGCGGCAUCCUGGACCAAUACUGACGCUGAGGAGCGAAAGCCAGGGGAGCAAACG
RNAcentral lists this ribosomal RNA (207 nucleotides) under uncultured bacterium. RNAcentral describes it as "partial 16S ribosomal RNA". It matches the Rfam family "Bacterial small subunit ribosomal RNA", at positions 568 to 774 of the family's 1533-position model. The record is from RNAcentral.